Molecule: ribosomal RNA, 465 nt
Filed under: Vreelandella stevensii
Lineage: Bacteria; Pseudomonadati; Pseudomonadota; Gammaproteobacteria; Oceanospirillales; Halomonadaceae
Description: partial 16S ribosomal RNA
Rfam family: Bacterial small subunit ribosomal RNA
Source: RNAcentral
CCUACGGGCGGCAGCAGUGGGGAUUAUUGGACAAUGGGGGCAACCCUGAUCCAGCCAUGCCGCGUGUGUGAAGAAGGCCCUCGGGUUGUAAAGCACUUUCAGUGAGGAAGAACGCCUGGUGGUUAAUACCCAUCAGGAAAGACAUCACUCACAGAAGAAGCACCGGCUAACUCCGUGCCAGCAGCCGCGGUAAUACGGAGGGUGCGAGCGUUAAUCGGAAUUACUGGGCGUAAAGCGCGCGUAGGUGGCUUGAUAAGCCGGUUGUGAAAGCCCCGGGCUCAACCUGGGAACGGCAUCCGGAACUGUCAAGCUAGAGUGCAGGAGAGGAAGGUAGAAUUCCCGGUGUAGCGGUGAAAUGCGUAGAGAUCGGGAGGAAUACCAGUGGCGAAGGCGGCCUUCUGGACUGACACUGACACUGAGGUGCGAAAGCGUGGGUAGCAAACAGGAUUAGAUACCCCAGUAGUC